RNAcentral lists this ribosomal RNA (465 nucleotides) under Vreelandella stevensii. RNAcentral describes it as "partial 16S ribosomal RNA". It matches the Rfam family "Bacterial small subunit ribosomal RNA", at positions 338 to 795 of the family's 1533-position model. Lineage: Bacteria; Pseudomonadati; Pseudomonadota; Gammaproteobacteria; Oceanospirillales; Halomonadaceae. The record is from RNAcentral.
CCUACGGGCGGCUGCAGUGGGGAAUAUUGGACAAUGGGCGAAAGCCUGAUCCAGCCAUGCCGCGUGUGUGAAGAAGGCCUUCGGGUUGUAAAGCACUUUCAGUGGGGAAGAAAGCCUUGGGGCGAAUACCCUCGAGGAAGGACAUCACCCACAGAAGAAGCACCGGCUAACUCCGUGCCAGCAGCCGCGGUAAUACGGAGGGUGCGAGCGUUAAUCGGAAUUACUGGGCGUAAAGCGCGCGUAGGCGGUCUGAUAAGCCGGUUGUGAAAGCCCCGGGCUCAACCUGGGAACGGCAUCCGGAACUGUCAGGCUAGAGUGCAGGAGAGGAAGGUAGAAUUCCCGGUGUAGCGGUGAAAUGCGUAGAGAUCGGGAGGAAUACCAGUGGCGAAGGCGGCCUUCUGGACUGACACUGACGCUGAGGUGCGAAAGCGUGGGUAGCAAACAGGAUUAGAUACCCCAGUAGUC